This 427-nucleotide ribosomal RNA is filed under the name uncultured bacterium. Its description in RNAcentral is "partial 16S ribosomal RNA". It matches the Rfam family "Bacterial small subunit ribosomal RNA", at positions 355 to 774 of the family's 1533-position model. RNAcentral also lists the same sequence under 1 other name. The record is from RNAcentral.
UGGGGAAUUUUGGACAAUGGGCGCAAGCCUGAUCCAGCCAUGCCGCGUGUCUGAAGAAGGCCUUCGGGUUGUAAAGGACUUUUGUCAGGGAAGAAAAGGGCGGGGUUAAUACCCCUGUCUGAUGACGGUACCUGAAGAAUAAGCACCGGCUAACUACGUGCCAGCAGCCGCGGUAAUACGUAGGGUGCGAGCGUUAAUCGGAAUUACUGGGCGUAAAGCGGGCGCAGACGGUUACUUAAGCAGGAUGUGAAAUCCCCGGGCUCAACCUGGGAACUGCGUUCUGAACUGGGUGACUAGAGUGUGUCAGAGGGAGGUAGAAUUCCACGUGUAGCAGUGAAAUGCGUAGAGAUGUGGAGGAAUACCGAUGGCGAAGGCAGCCUCCUGGGAUAACACUGACGUUCAUGCCCGAAAGCGUGGGUAGCAAACA